GAUGAACGCUGGCGGCGUGCUUAACACAUGCAAGUCGGACGGGAAGUCGUGUUUCCUGUGGCGGUCGGGUGAGUAGCGCGCGAGAACCUGCCCUUGGGAGAGGAACAACAACUGGAAACGGUUACUAAUACCCCGUAGGCUGAAUAGCAAAAGAAGUGAUGCGCCCGAGGGGGGGCUUGCGACUGAUUGGCUAGGUGGUGAGGUAAUAGCUUACCAAGGUGAUGAUCAGUAGCGGGUCGGAGAGGAUGAUCAGCCACACUGGGACGGAAAGACGGACCAGGCUCCUACGGGAAGCAGGAGAGGGGAAUACUCAGCAAUGGGAGAAAGGCUGAGGGAGCCAUGCGGCGUGGAGGUAGAAGGACCAGGGGUAGUGAACUUCUUUUGGAGGAGAAGAAACAAUGACGGUAUCUGAGGAAUAAGCAACGGCUAACUACGUG
RNAcentral lists this ribosomal RNA (437 nucleotides) under uncultured bacterium. RNAcentral's name for it is "partial 16S ribosomal RNA". It matches the Rfam family "Bacterial small subunit ribosomal RNA", at positions 28 to 507 of the family's 1533-position model. The record is from RNAcentral.